This 200-nucleotide long non-coding RNA is filed under the name Elaeis guineensis (African oil palm). RNAcentral describes it as "long non-coding RNA (EGUI_LNC059814)". The record is from RNAcentral. Lineage: Eukaryota; Viridiplantae; Streptophyta; Magnoliopsida; Arecales; Arecaceae.
GGGCGGGGCUCGGCUCCCGUAGGAGUUCAGGCGGAGCCCUUCAGUAGUUGAGGUUGAGAAUGGAGUUUGACUUCCGUAGGAGUCCGGGCGGAGUCCACCUGCAGUCAAGGUUAGGGACAAAGUCCGGCUCCCGUACGAGUCCGAUCGAAAUUUUAUUGCGAGGGGGCCAUUGGGGAAAGUCUCCCCCUUUUUCUCUUCUG